ACUCAAAUGAAUUGACGGGGACCCGCACAACCUGUGGAGCGUGUGGUUCAAUUCGAGACAAAACGAAAAACCUCACCAGGGUUUGACAUGCUAUCGUACAUUCUCUUGGAAACUUGAGGAAAUCCGCAAGGAUGAUAGCACAGGUGCUGCAUGGCUGUCGUCAGCUCGUGCCGUGAGGUGUUCCCUUAAGUGGGGAAACGAGCGCAACCCCCAUCCAAUGUUAAAUAUUCAUUGGAAACGGUCCCGCUUUUAACGGGAAGGAAGGAGGGGAAGACGUCAAGUCAGCACGGCCCUUAUACCCUGGGCUACACACACACUACAAUGGCGAAUAACAACGGGCCGCAAGCUAGCAAUAGCAAGCAAAUCCCUAAAAUUUCGCCUCAGUUCAGAUUGAGGGCUGCAACUCGCCCUCAUGAAGCCGGAAUAGGUAGUAAUCGCAGAUCAGCAAGCUGCGGUGAAUACGUUCUCGGGUCUUGUACACACCGCCCGU
Molecule: ribosomal RNA, 490 nt
Filed under: uncultured bacterium
Lineage: Bacteria
Description: partial 16S ribosomal RNA
Rfam family: Bacterial small subunit ribosomal RNA
Source: RNAcentral